Molecule: ribosomal RNA, 253 nt
Filed under: uncultured bacterium
Lineage: Bacteria
Description: partial 16S ribosomal RNA
Rfam family: Bacterial small subunit ribosomal RNA
Source: RNAcentral
UACGUAGGCGGCAAGCGUUGUCCGGAAUUAUUGGGCGUAAAGCGCGCGCAGGCGGCCUCUUAAGUCUGAUGUGAAAGCCCCCGGCUCAACCGGGGAGGGCCAUUGGAAACUGGGAGGCUUGAGUAUAGGAGAGAAGAGUGGAAUUCCACGUGUAGCGGUGAAAUGCGUAGAGAUGUGGAGGAACACCAGUGGCGAAGGCGACUCUUUGGCCUAUAACUGACGCUGAGGCGCGAAAGCGUGGGGAGCAAACAGG